Molecule: ribosomal RNA, 200 nt
Filed under: uncultured Glomus
Lineage: Eukaryota; Fungi; Glomeromycota; Glomeromycetes; Glomerales; Glomeraceae
Description: partial small subunit ribosomal RNA
Rfam family: Eukaryotic small subunit ribosomal RNA
Source: RNAcentral
CCAAUAGCGUAUAUUAAAGUUGUUGCAGUUAAAAAGCUCGUAGUUAAAUUUCGAGACCGGUUUACUGGUCGUGCUUUUGUACGUACUGGUAUAAUCGGUUUCUCUCUUCUGACGAACUAUAAUGCCAUUAAUUUGGUGUUUUAGGGAAUCAGGACUGUUACUUUGAAAAAAUUAGAGUGUUUAAAGCAGGCUCACGCUUG